RNAcentral lists this long non-coding RNA (201 nucleotides) under Mytilus galloprovincialis (Mediterranean mussel). Lineage: Eukaryota; Metazoa; Mollusca; Bivalvia; Mytilida; Mytilidae. The record is from RNAcentral.
UGUAAGUGUAAUCGUAAUCCUAAUCAUAGAUGUAUGAGAGUUUUCGCAAAUGUCUACUAGUAGUCGUAGUCAAGGUUUCAUAGUACACAUUUCUGUUUGUACAAAUAAUUGCCUGUAUGAUAAAUGAUUACAGUUGUAAGAUGGGGUCGUUUGUUUAUGUGUCACAUAUUUGUUUUGCGUUCAUUUUUUUAUAUAAAUAAG